Molecule: ribosomal RNA, 319 nt
Filed under: uncultured Pseudomonadota bacterium
Lineage: Bacteria; Pseudomonadati; Pseudomonadota
Description: bacterial SSU rRNA
Rfam family: Bacterial small subunit ribosomal RNA
Source: RNAcentral
AACGAACGUUAGCGGCGCGCUUAACACAUGCAAGUCGAACGAGAAAGGGGCUUCGGCCCUGAGUACAGUGGCGCACGGGUGAGUAACACGUGGGUAAUUUACCUUCUGGCGGGGGACAACAACUCGAAAGGGUUGCUAAUACCGCAUAAGUCCGCGCAAGCGGGGAAAGGCGGCGAAAGCUGUCACCAGAGGAUGAGCCCGCGGCCCAUCAGCUAGUUGGUGAGGUAACGGCCCACCAAGGCUCCGACGGGUAGCUGGUCUGAGAGGAUGAUCAGCCACACUGGAACUGAGACACGGUCCAGACUCCUACGGGUGGCUG